UACGGAGGGAGCUAGCGUUAUUCGGAAUUACUGGGCGUAAAGCGCACGUAGGCGCUUUGCAAGUUAGAGGUGAAAGCCUGGAGCUCAACUCCAGAACUGCCUUUAAAACUGCAUCGCUUGAAUCCAGGAGAGGUGAGUGGAAUUCCGAGUGUAGAGGUGGAAAAUUCGUAGAUAUUCGGAAGAACACCAGUGGCGAAGGCGGCUCACUGGACUGGUAUUGACGCUGAGGUGCGAAAAGCGUGGGGGAGCAAACAGG
RNAcentral lists this ribosomal RNA (256 nucleotides) under uncultured bacterium. Its description in RNAcentral is "partial 16S ribosomal RNA". It matches the Rfam family "Bacterial small subunit ribosomal RNA", at positions 524 to 776 of the family's 1533-position model. The record is from RNAcentral.